CGUCUGACCAGUUCAUAUUGUUGACGGCCCAGUCC
Molecule: non-coding RNA, 35 nt
Filed under: Geobacter sulfurreducens PCA
Lineage: Bacteria; Pseudomonadati; Thermodesulfobacteriota; Desulfuromonadia; Geobacterales; Geobacteraceae
Source: RNAcentral